This 484-nucleotide ribosomal RNA is filed under the name uncultured bacterium. RNAcentral describes it as "partial 16S ribosomal RNA". It matches the Rfam family "Bacterial small subunit ribosomal RNA", at positions 30 to 507 of the family's 1533-position model. The record is from RNAcentral.
AUUGAACGCUGGCGGCAGGCCUAACACAUGCAAGUCGAGCGGAUGAAGGGAGCUUGCUCCUGGAUUCAGCGGCGGACGAGUGAGUAAUGCCUAGGAAUCUGCCUGGUAGUGGGGGAUAACGUCCGGAAACGGGCGCUAAUACCGCAUACGUCCUGAGGGAGAAAGUGGGGGAUCUUCGGACCUCACGCUAUCAGAUGAGCUUAGGUCGGAUUAGCUAGUUUGUGGGGUAAAGGCCUACCAAGGCGACGAUCCGUAACUGGUCUGAAAGGAUGAUCAGUCACACUGGAACUGAGCCACGGUCCAGACUCCUACGGGAGGCAGCAGUGGGGAAUAUUGGACAAUGGGCGAAAGCCUGCUCCAGCCAUGCCGCGUGUGUGAAGAAGGUCUUCGGAUUGUAAAGCACUUUAAGUUGGGAGGAAGGGCAGUAAGUUAAUACCUUGCUGUUUUGACGUUACCAACAGAAUAAGCACCGGCUAACUUCGUG